RNAcentral lists this ribosomal RNA (637 nucleotides) under Janibacter sp. PLB188. RNAcentral's name for it is "bacterial SSU rRNA". It matches the Rfam family "Bacterial small subunit ribosomal RNA", at positions 117 to 768 of the family's 1533-position model. The record is from RNAcentral. Lineage: Bacteria; Bacillati; Actinomycetota; Actinomycetes; Micrococcales; Intrasporangiaceae.
GUGAGUAACCUGCCCCGGACUCUGGAAUAAGCGCUGGAAACGGCGUCUAAUACCGGAUACGAGACGCAACCGCAUGGUUAGUGUCUGGAAAGUUUUUCGGUCUGGGAUGGACUCGCGGCCUAUCAGCUUGUUGGUGAGGUAAUGGCUCACCAAGGCGACGACGGGUAGCCGGCCUGAGAGGGCGACCGGCCACACUGGGACUGAGACACGGCCCAGACUCCUACGGGAGGCAGCAGUGGGGAAUAUUGCACAAUGGGCGAAAGCCUGAUGCAGCGACGCCGCGUGAGGGAUGACGGCCUUCGGGUUGUAAACCUCUUUCAGCAGGGAAGAAGCGAAAGUGACGGUACCUGCAGAAGAAGCACCGGCUAACUACGUGCCAGCAGCCGCGGUAAUACGUAGGGUGCGAGCGUUGUCCGGAAUUAUUGGGCGUAAAGAGCUUGUAGGCGGUUUGUCGCGUCUGCUGUGAAAAUCCGGGGCUCAACCCCGGACUUGCAGUGGGUACGGGCAGACUAGAGUGUGGUAGGGGAGACUGGAAUUCCUGGUGUAGCGGUGAAAUGCGCAGAUAUCAGGAGGAACACCGAUGGCGAAGGCAGGUCUCUGGGCCACUACUGACGCUGAGAAGCGAAAGCAUGGGGAG